GCUGGGCACGGUGGUGCACACCUGUAGUCCCAGCUACUUGGGAGGCUGAGGCAGGAGGAUCACUUGAGCCCAGGAGUUUAAGGCUGCAGUGAGCUGCAGUAGUGCCUCUGCAUUCCAGCCUGGGUGAUAGAGUGAGACCCUGUCUCUA
Unclassified non-coding RNA from Macaca fascicularis (crab-eating macaque), 148 nucleotides. It matches the Rfam family "Metazoan signal recognition particle RNA". From Rfam's summary of the family: The signal recognition particle (SRP) is a universally conserved ribonucleoprotein. Lineage: Eukaryota; Metazoa; Chordata; Mammalia; Primates; Cercopithecidae. The record is from Ensembl.